AUUGAAGAUCUACUUACACUCUAUGAGUUUUAUCUUUUCGAGUGGAUCAACAAGUAUCCAUACACCAUUGACCUUCAUAAACUCUGUUUCGAACUUUAUAGCUCCAAGUCACUAAUUGGAGUCAGACCUCUGCAUAGCAUCUAUGUAGGUGAUCAAAUCCUUAUUGUUCUCAUCGAGUUCAAUAGGAUGACAUCCCGGAACUAGAUACCAAAG
This 213-nucleotide long non-coding RNA is filed under the name Elaeis guineensis (African oil palm). RNAcentral's name for it is "long non-coding RNA (EGUI_LNC038572)". The record is from RNAcentral. Lineage: Eukaryota; Viridiplantae; Streptophyta; Magnoliopsida; Arecales; Arecaceae.